This 463-nucleotide long non-coding RNA is filed under the name Bos grunniens (domestic yak). RNAcentral describes it as "lncRNA (ENSBGRG00000014864.1)". The record is from RNAcentral. Lineage: Eukaryota; Metazoa; Chordata; Mammalia; Artiodactyla; Bovidae.
GAAAUGCUGAGCCACAAAGUGUACCUUUUUCAUCGAGUAAUUGAUCACAAUAGUUAUUGCCAGCCCUUCUGAGAGCCUAGAGAGAAAUGUUUCUGUUUUCCUGCUUUUUCAUACUGAUAUUUGCAAAAGAAGCAAGUAGAGUUUCUCAUCCCAUUUUUGAACUGAUUGCAAAAAGAAGAGCCAGAUGACAGAAUGGACCAUCAAAUCCUGGUACCCUUCCCUUUCAUUCUUGUCCUUUACUAAGUGUUUCUGUGCUUGGAGAAUGCAGGGCUUUGAGACAGAUUAAUGCAGCAAGAAGCUCACUGUGCUCCCUGGAGACUCUGAUUGUUUCCUGGUGUUCUCUUUGGCUGUGGGAAGCGUCAUCUUUCAGGUUCAUCGUCUGUGAUGAUGGAGUCUCACAUUUGAAAGCUUUCUAGUCAACUGGAAACUUCACAAGGGAAAAGAAAAAAAAAAAAUGCUGCUA